Molecule: transfer RNA, 73 nt
Filed under: Bos taurus (domestic cattle)
Lineage: Eukaryota; Metazoa; Chordata; Mammalia; Artiodactyla; Bovidae
Rfam family: tRNA
About the family: Transfer RNA (tRNA) molecules are approximately 80 nucleotides in length. Their secondary structure includes four short double-helical elements and three loops (D, anti-codon, and T loops).
Source: Rfam by way of RNAcentral
UCCUUGGUGGUCCAGUGGCUAAGACUCUGCUCUCCCAAAGCAGGGGGCUCAGGUUCAAUCCCUGCUCAGGGAA